CUGUUAUUUUAUUUUAUAUCCCUGGCAAUGCACCUUUGAUUUCCUAUCACGUGGUUAUGUGCGCUGUCCCCUUUAAGAAAUAAGCGUUCGCGCACAUGAGAGAGAGAAGUGCACGUCGACCGACGGAGAACUGAGUUAAAGCGUUGCACAAAGAAAUAGUUGAUAAAACUGUUAAAAGGAGAUAAAUCCCAGUUUAUAUCUACUCGUGAAUGUGUGGGUACAUGGUUUCAUUUGACGAUUACAAAGGAGUUGCCUUAUUGCACGUGAGAGAUCGCCAGUGGGGGAAGGGAAAUUCGGACCACGUUAAUGGAGAUCGAGCAGGGGAGAGCAACGAAAUGUGAGAUCGAGUGUUAAUGACCAUGUGAGCUUUUGCUGUGUGCUUCGUGGAAUCAGUCGGAGAGAGCACAUAUAGGCCACUGCCGUUGUUUUGUACGCCGUUGUUUUGUACGCUGC
Molecule: long non-coding RNA, 453 nt
Organism: Puntigrus tetrazona (Sumatra barb)
Lineage: Eukaryota; Metazoa; Chordata; Actinopteri; Cypriniformes; Cyprinidae
Exons: 3
Source: RefSeq, a predicted model, not a curated record